GCAGUCGUGUGAGCAGUUGGCUGACCGACAGCGACGGGGACGUUUGUCGUGCGGUGUAGUCAUGCCCGUCCGGUGCUGAGCGAUCGACGUGCGGUCCACGUGGGUUUCGCGUAAAUUAAAGAAAACCACCAUGCCGACGUUCAUUCGCUGUCCGAUGGCGGACGUCCGCACAUCGUUUUGAACGCAGAAAAAAAAACUAUAAAAACGGAAAACAGUUAUCGCAUUUUUGAUGUAAAAAAAAAAAAAAUAAUAAUAAUACUAUUAUGUUAACAACGGAACGACAUUAUUCUCGUUUGAAUUUGCUCGAGUUUUAAUUCUAUCAGAAAGUUUUAUUGUAUCGUAAUAUUAAUUUCCUACCGUAUACAUUUUGUCGACCGUUUAUUAAAUUUCGUUUGAACUGAGUAGUACUAAUAUUAUUGUAGUCCACUCACUGACGUUUAUGUAUACUGCAUUGUGCAAUUUCAUUAUAUUACCUUAUUAUGCAAUUAUAACUGAGUUAUUUAGUGAAGAAUUUAAUUUUAAAAUUACUCAAAUUAUUUAAAUUCAAUAAAACGGUUAUUAGCAACGUUACUCGAAUAAAAUUAUGCGGAUAUACUGCCAAUGGCAUAUCCGAGAGCAGUCGAUGAAAUAGCUGGUUAAUAUAAUGACGACGACCUAAAUUUUUACUUCCGAUUGUAAUAGAUGACAACUACUUUGAAUUAUUCAUUCUGAGGCACUGCUAUACUAUAUAGACAAUGUCAUUGGGUUCCAUCGUCCUAUUAACUGCUGUUUGGUUAGCAAUGUCCAAGGUAUUGACCUGCGAAUCGCUCCGUAACAGCGGCAGUCACCGGGGCCGUCAUAAAUACAAGCGAAGGCAAUUAUAUUCCGGAGGAAAUAACGGUGACGUGCACCUCCACCGAGACGACUCGCCACUGCAACAUGAUCCGUCAUUAUUACUGAUGGAUGAAGAUAACGAAGCAGCGACUGCCGACGCUACGUUUGAGUUGGACAAACCACGUGAGUGUAUAUUUCAUACUAUAAUUUAUAGAACAAAAAAGUUUUAUUUUUUUAUUAUUGAAAUUGAUGUCUUUCAUCCGGUUACCGGUAGGUAUAGAGAUAUUUCAUUUUUUUUUUUUUUU
This is a long non-coding RNA of Myzus persicae (green peach aphid), 1118 nucleotides long. RefSeq lists it as uncharacterized. Lineage: Eukaryota; Metazoa; Arthropoda; Insecta; Hemiptera; Aphididae. The record is from RefSeq and is a predicted model, not a curated record. The transcript has 2 exons.